Triticum aestivum (bread wheat) is the source of this 1619-nucleotide long non-coding RNA. RefSeq lists it as uncharacterized. The record is from RefSeq and is a predicted model, not a curated record. NCBI's taxonomy places the organism in Eukaryota, Viridiplantae, Streptophyta, Magnoliopsida, Poales, Poaceae. The transcript has 4 exons.
AAUCUCAGCAUUCCCCACCCGAGCCAGCCAGCGGCGCUCCCAAAUCCCAAAUCUGGCCGCCUCCAGCCAGCGGUGCCCCCAAAUCCUAGAUCUGGCCGCCGCCAGCCAGCGGCAUCUCAAAUCCCUCGUCGUCCGUACGCUGAUGCGCACCAAAUCCGUCGCCAACCUGCUGCGCCCCAAAUCCCUCGCCGCCGGAUGCGCCUCCUCCAACCUCUCGCCCGCCCCAUUCGCUAUAUUCGCUGGGUUGCCGAACAAGGAAUGGCCGCCUUCGGAAUAUCGCCGUCAACUUCGCCUCUACCUCCAGAGGGUCGUCGUCAAAGUGCCCGCCGAUGUCGUCAGUCGAUUGCGCGCCAUCGAAUCCUUGUUCGAGUGCCACCCCUUUCCAUCCAGGUUGCAGGACUCCUAAAAAAUCACUUCUUCAGAGGAGGGAAACAGAGUCCAACUGUUAAUUGUAAAGGUAAUGGACAAUACUGCAUGCUUGUUAUCAUUUAAUAUAUCAAUGGUUUCUCAAAUAUAGCUCUGCAUAUCUCCUUUUCUGGUUCUGUAAUCAUGGGUCACCCCUUCCAAUAUUUGUAUGUUGUGUAUCAACAUGUAAUCGGAAGUUGAAGCUAUUGAGUAAGCAGUAACAGUGAAGAUUGGUUACCCAGUUAAUUUUCUCAAGAUCGAGCAGUAAAUAAGAAUCUUGAAAAAGUCACUAGCAGGUUCUAUACAUAACCUAUCUUUUGUCUUGUGUCGGGACACAUGGCGCAUAAGGUUUUUUACUUGUGCUUUCGCCCUUCCAAAGUUUAAAAUGAAUAAUUGUAUGGCGUGUUUUCUCCUAUAUAUUACAAUAACAUUCGAUGUCUAGUAUGCUCAAGAUUAUCUAGUGUGUUUUGAGCCAGUAGCUGCUAUAUUUGUUCAGUCUUAAACUCCUAAUGUUACUUUCCAUUCUAUUUCCUUAUGAUUUUUUAUGGUCUGACUAUCGAGUACGUAACAGUUUUGCUCUCUAAUUUGUUUGUCCAUACCCUUUGAUUUAAUCUCUUUCAUUAUUUUUGGAUUUAGGAAGAAUUGAAAAAACUUCACAGGUUAUCACUCAAUGUCAAGAAAUUGAAUAAUAUUCGUCCCAAUGAAGUGGUGCUAUUCCCUUUAAUAUUUUGUUGUUGUAUGCACAUCAACCUAUAAAUUAAAUAUUGGUCAACAUGUAUUUGAGGUCUGGGUUUUCUAGUUUGCAAUUCAUCUUGAGUAGGAGCAAAAUUCAAGAUCUGGGAUCUACGAGAGAUGCAAGAGCCUUUGUUCUAAUCAAGGGACAAUUGAUCUGUUGCAUGGAAGGAAGAUGAUCAGCACAACAAGGAGGUUGCAGCAAGAAGUUAAGGGUAACCUGGAAGAGAAGCUUGCAACUUAAGCUGUAACAAAACAUUAUGAAAAGAGGUCUCACGCUGUGAAUGUUUAGUUGAUGCACUAGUGUUUUUAGAUGUUGCGCCUCUGUUUUCAUUUUCCUUUGAUUCAUGUAUGCAACUUCGAUGGAAUUGUAUCCGAAUUAUGUGAAUUUGUAACUCUAUGGUUGAUGGAAGCUAUUGAUAGUGAUGUUUCUCUAUUCUAAACAUUCAGAGUAAUGAAAUAGCUAUGUCUAAGACCAUCAA